RNAcentral lists this ribosomal RNA (577 nucleotides) under uncultured bacterium. RNAcentral describes it as "partial 16S ribosomal RNA". It matches the Rfam family "Bacterial small subunit ribosomal RNA", at positions 355 to 925 of the family's 1533-position model. The record is from RNAcentral.
UGGGGAAUUUUGGACAAUGGGCGAAAGCCUGAUCCAGCAAUGCCGCGUGUGUGAAGAAGGCCUUCGGGUUGUAAAGCACUUUUGUCCGGAAAGAAAUCCUUGGCUCUAAUACAGUCGGGGGAUGACGGUACCGGAAGAAUAAGCACCGGCUAACUACGUGCCAGCAGCCGCGGUAAUACGUAGGGUGCAAGCGUUAAUCGGAAUUACUGGGCGUAAAGCGUGCGCAGGCGGUUUGCUAAGACCGAUGUGAAAUCCCCGGGCUCAACCUGGGAACUGCAUUGGUGACUGGCAGGCUAGAGUAUGGCAGAGGGGGGUAGAAUUCCACGUGUAGCAGUGAAAUGCGUAGAGAUGUGGAGGAAUACCGAUGGCGAAGGCAGCCCCCUGGGCCAAUACUGACGCUCAUGCACGAAAGCGUGGGGAGCAAACAGGAUUAGAUACCCUGGUAGUCCACGCCCUAAACGAUGUCAACUAGUUGUUGGGGAUUCAUUUCCUUAGUAACGUAGCUAACGCGUGAAGUUGACCGCCUGGGGAGUACGGUCGCAAGAUUAAAACUUAAAGGAAUUGACGGGGUCAUAGC